Molecule: ribosomal RNA, 382 nt
Filed under: uncultured bacterium
Lineage: Bacteria
Description: partial 16S ribosomal RNA
Rfam family: Bacterial small subunit ribosomal RNA
Source: RNAcentral
CCUACGGGCGGCAGCAGUGGGGAAUAUUGGGCAAUGGAGGCAACUCUGACCCAGCAACGCCGCGUGAAUGAUGAAGGUCUUCGGAUUGUAAAGUUCUGUGAUGGGGGAUGAAGACAAUGACGGUACUCCAAUAGCAAGCCACGGCUAACUACGUGCCAGCAGCCGCGGUAAUACGUAGGUGGCAAGCGUUAUCCGGAAUGACUGGGCGCAAAGGGUGCGUAGGUGGUUUAGUAAGUUGGCGGUGUAAUUCCGGGGCUCAACCUGGGCGCUACCGCCGAAACUAUUAGACUAGAGUGCAGGAGGGGGAGGUGGAAUUCCUAGUGUAGCGGUGAAAUGCGUAGAGAUGAGGAGGAACAUCAGGGGCGAAGGCGACUUACUGGAC